UACGUAGGGGGCAAGCGUUAUCCGGAAUUACUGGGUGUAAGGGGAGCGUAGACGGUAAUGUAAGUCUGGAGUGAAAGGCGGGGGCCCAACCCCCGGACUGCUCUGGAAACUAUGUUACUAGAGUGCAGGAGUGGUAAGCGGAAUUCCUAGUGUAGCGGUGAAAUGCGUAGAUAUUAGGAGGAACACCAGUGGCGAAGGCGGCUUACUGGACUGUAACUGACGUUGAGGCUCGAAAGCGUGGGGAGCAAACAGG
RNAcentral lists this ribosomal RNA (253 nucleotides) under uncultured bacterium. RNAcentral describes it as "partial 16S ribosomal RNA". It matches the Rfam family "Bacterial small subunit ribosomal RNA", at positions 524 to 776 of the family's 1533-position model. The record is from RNAcentral.